UGAGUAAAGUAUGGGGAUCUGCCUGAUGAGGGGAUAACACUGAAACGUGGCUAAUACCGCAUAAUCUCGCGAGAGCAAAGUGGGGGGACCUUCGGGCCUCAUGCCAUCGGAUGAACCCAUACGGGAUUAGCUGGAAGGUGAGGUAAUGGCUCACCUUGGCGACGAUCCCUAGCUGGUCUGAGAGGAUGACCAGCCACACUGGGACUGAGACACGGCCCAG
This 220-nucleotide ribosomal RNA is filed under the name uncultured bacterium. RNAcentral describes it as "partial 16S ribosomal RNA". It matches the Rfam family "Bacterial small subunit ribosomal RNA", at positions 107 to 334 of the family's 1533-position model. The record is from RNAcentral.